RNAcentral lists this ribosomal RNA (524 nucleotides) under uncultured bacterium. Its description in RNAcentral is "partial 16S ribosomal RNA". It matches the Rfam family "Bacterial small subunit ribosomal RNA", at positions 28 to 523 of the family's 1533-position model. The record is from RNAcentral.
GACGAACGCUGGCGGCGUGCCUAAUACAUGCAAGUCGAGCGCAGGAAACUGACGGAACUCUUCGGAGGAAAGGCAGCGGAAUGAGCGGCGGACGGGUGAGUAACACGUAAGGAACCUGCCUCAAGGAUUGGGAUAACUCCGAGAAAUCGGAGCUAAUACCGAAUAGUUCAACGGACCGCAUGGUCCGCUGAUGAAAGGCGCUCCGGCGUCACCUUGAGAUGGCCUUGCGGUGCAUUAGCUAGUUGGUGGGGUAACGGCCCACCAAGGCGACGAUGCAAAGCCGACCUGAGAGGGUGAUCGGCCACACUGGGACUGAGACACGGCCCAGACUCCUACGGGAGGCAGCAGUAGGGAAUAUUCCACAAUGGACGAAAGUCUGAUGGAGCAACGCCGCGUGAGUGAUGAAGGUUUUCGGAUAAUAAAACUCUGUUGUAAGGGAAGAACACGUACGAGAGGGAAUGCUCGUACCUUGACGGUACCUUACGAGAAAGCCACGGCUAACUACGUGCCAGCCGCCGCAGUAA